This 448-nucleotide ribosomal RNA is filed under the name uncultured bacterium. Its description in RNAcentral is "SSU rRNA". It matches the Rfam family "Bacterial small subunit ribosomal RNA", at positions 26 to 518 of the family's 1533-position model. The record is from RNAcentral.
AGAACGAACGCUGGCGGCAUGCCUAACACAUGCAAGUCGAACGAGAUCCUUCGGGGUCUAGUGGCGCACGGGUGCGUAACGCGUGGGAAUCUGCCCUUAGGUACGGAAUAACUCAGGGAAACUUGUGCUAAUACCGUAUGAUGUCUUCGGACCAAAGAUUUAUCGCCUAGGGAUGAGCCCGCGUAGGAUUAGCUAGUUGGUGGGGUAAAGGCCUACCAAGGCUACGAUCCUUAGCUGGUCUGAGAGGAUGAUCAGCCACACUGGGACUGAGACACGGCCCAGACUCCUACGGGAGGCAGCAGUGGGGAAUAUUGGACAAUGGGCGAAAGCCUGAUCCAGCAAUGCCGCGUGAGUGAAGAAGGCCUUCGGGUUGUAAAGCUCUUUUACCCGGGUAAGAUAAUGACUGUACCGGGAGAAUAAGCCCGGCUAACUCCGUGCCAGCAGCCGC